RNAcentral lists this transfer RNA (66 nucleotides) under uncultured Ruminococcus sp. It matches the Rfam family "tRNA", at positions 5 to 66 of the family's 71-position model. From Rfam's summary of the family: Transfer RNA (tRNA) molecules are approximately 80 nucleotides in length. The record is from RNAcentral. Lineage: Bacteria; Bacillati; Bacillota; Clostridia; Eubacteriales; Oscillospiraceae.
GGUAUAGCCAAGUGGUAAGGCAACGGACUUUGACUCCGUCAUUCCGCUGGUUCGAAUCCAGCUACU